Molecule: transfer RNA, 362 nt
Filed under: uncultured Microcystis sp.
Lineage: Bacteria; Bacillati; Cyanobacteriota; Cyanophyceae; Chroococcales; Microcystaceae
Description: partial 16S-23S ribosomal RNA intergenic spacer
Rfam family: tRNA (bases 136-209)
Source: RNAcentral
AAAGGGAGACCUAAUUCGGGUAUGAGAUGAAAAAAAAGUAGUCCCAACCAAGAAUCAAUCCCAAAAGGUCGGAGCGAGGCAAAAUUGGCUUUCAAACUAGGUUCUGGGUUCACACAAGACCUGAAUCAGGAACAAGGGCUAUUAGCUCAGGUGGUUAGAGCGCACCCAUGAUAAGGGUGAGGUCCCUGGUUCGAGUCCAGGAUGGCCCACCUGCACAGGUGGCAAAAACAAGAGAAGCGAGGAAUCAGCACCUUAUCUUAUAUACAUAUAUAAGAGAGAAUGCUGGCUCUGAGUACAGAGUCCAGAGGAACCUUGAAAACUGCAUAGAGCUAGGUGAAAAAGCCAAAAAAGAAGACCGCAAG